Gossypium raimondii (Peruvian cotton) is the source of this 1525-nucleotide long non-coding RNA. RefSeq lists it as uncharacterized. The transcript has 3 exons. The record is from RefSeq and is a predicted model, not a curated record. Lineage: Eukaryota; Viridiplantae; Streptophyta; Magnoliopsida; Malvales; Malvaceae.
UUGAGGGGUCGUGUGAAUGGUGUAGACUAUUUGUCAGAUGAACGCCUCAUGCCAUACUUGGAGUUAGCCAGCUUCAGAUCAGCGACAUUGAUCUGGACCUUUGAUUUGCGAUACGAAUUAAUAUCCGCUUUAGUAGAGUGAUGGCGCCCGGAGAUCCACAUAUUUCAUUUGCCGUGUGGGGAGUACACUAUCACUCUGCAGGAUGUUGCACUACAACUUGGGCUCCCCAUCGACAGGAAUGCGGUCACGAGCGUAAGUUCGAUAUCUGUGUCAGCAGCCCUUUGCUAUAACUUACUUGGACGCUCGCCCAGUGAGGAGAAAUUUAUGGGUUUAAGGUUUUCAUGGCUAAAGGCUAAUUUCAGGCAUUUAUCGAGUACUGCCACUGAAUGGGAGGUGAUGUAUGUCGUUCGAGCUUUCAUUAUACACAUUAUAGGGGGUAUACCCAUGCCGGAUGCAAACAACAAUAAUAUCCAUUUGAUGUACUUGCCCCUAUUAUCUGAUUUGCGUAACAUCCGUUCGUACAGUUGGGGGUCUGCAGUGUUAGUUAUGUUGUAUCGCAAACUUUGUCGGAUGACAAAUCUUUCUGCCGUGGACAUAGGUGGAUGCCUUAUAUUGCUGCAGUCUUUGGCGCUUUAUCGGAUGCAAUUCUUAGUAUCGAUUAGUCACCAAUCAUAUGUAUUUCCACUAGUGAAUAGAUGGAGUACUAAUAGGGUAUCGGGAGGUCAUACACGGUUCCGAUAUACCGUCUGAUGAUCGAGAAUCAUGUUGGAGAGGGAUUCAUCUGGAUGCCCUAUUCUGUCCCAAAAAUUAUGUCGGUUAUUCCCUCAUCUGCCCAUGUCCACUCAGACUUAUAGUACAUUAACGCACCCAUUGUCAAUUUCUAGUCAGUGAAGUGGUAUCAUAGGGAUCAAGUACUCCGUCAGUUCGGUUGUGUAUAGUAUAUCCCGCCAGUACAAUUGGGGGACAUCUACAAGAUUAGCAAGAGGAGGAAACAUGGAAAUGAUUGGGCGGUAGUGCAUGAAUAAUAUAUUGCAGUGUAAAACAAUCGGCCUGGGCGGAUACCUCAGAUGGAUCGUGCUUUGGAUCUGCAACCUUCGUUGAAGUACAUAUAUUGAUACUUUGAGAUAGGGAAAUCUUAUUUAUUUGGUGGGCAGUCGAUGAUAGUCCCUCCACAUAUGACAUAACUUGCGUAACCCUCCCAUCCCUUUCCACAUCUGCUUCUUGCACCCGAGCCAGAGCCAGAGCCAGAUCCAGAGCCAGAGCUACACUUUGGGGAUAGUUCUUAUCAUCCAGACUUGGGGAGCGAUGACUAUUUUCCGGACUUGUCAGGCCACGAAUAUCAUUCAGAGUUUGAUAUCUUCAGCCCACUACCAUCGCAGUACUCCACUCCUCUUAGCUCAAGUUCAUCGAUGGCGUUUGAGGCAUAUGAUUUUUCUUCUAUGUUUCGCACACCCCCACGUGCGGGUGAAGAGAAUGUUGAUCACUGCAAUCACCCGCAACGUGAAUGUCGACCUUUACAAAAAUA